UUGGCUACGUUCGGAAGGGAUAACCGCUGAAAGCAUCUAAGCGGGAAGCCUUCUCCAAGAUGAGGAUUCCUUGACACUGUUAUGGUGUUGUGACCCCCCAUGUGGAUGACGUGGUGGAUAGGCCGGGUGUGGAAGCCGUGCGAGCGGUGGAGCUGACCGGUACUAACGGGGGAACGGCA
RNAcentral lists this ribosomal RNA (179 nucleotides) under Bifidobacterium vespertilionis. Its description in RNAcentral is "partial 23S ribosomal RNA". It matches the Rfam family "Bacterial large subunit ribosomal RNA", at positions 2745 to 2925 of the family's 2925-position model. Lineage: Bacteria; Bacillati; Actinomycetota; Actinomycetes; Bifidobacteriales; Bifidobacteriaceae. The record is from RNAcentral.